AUAUAGGUUUUUCUCAAAGCCACAAAUCUCAACAAUGGGUCUGUUU
Non-coding RNA from Rattus norvegicus (Norway rat), 46 nucleotides. The record is from Rfam. NCBI's taxonomy places the organism in Eukaryota, Metazoa, Chordata, Mammalia, Rodentia, Muridae.